This 549-nucleotide ribosomal RNA is filed under the name uncultured Glomus. Its description in RNAcentral is "SSU rRNA". It matches the Rfam family "Eukaryotic small subunit ribosomal RNA", at positions 548 to 1098 of the family's 1831-position model. The record is from RNAcentral. Lineage: Eukaryota; Fungi; Glomeromycota; Glomeromycetes; Glomerales; Glomeraceae.
UUGGAGGGCAAGUCUGGUGCCAGCAGCCGCGGUAAUUCCAGCUCCAAUAGCGUAUAUUAAAGUUGUUGCAGUUAAAAAGCUCGUAGUUGAAUUCCGGGAUCAGUACGCCGGUCGUGCCUUCGGUAUGCACUGGUGUCACUGGUUUCUCCCUUCUGAAGAACCAUCAUGCCAUUCAGUUGGUGUGGCGGGGAAUCAGGACUGUUACUUUGAAAAAAUUAGAGUGUUUAAAGCAGGCUCGCGCUUGAAUACAUUAGCAUGGAAUAAUGAAAUAGGACGUUUGACCCUAUUUUGUUGGUUUCUAGGAUCGACGUAAUGAUUAAUAGGGAUAGUUGGGGGCAUUAGUAUUCAAUUGCCAGAGGUGAAAUUCUUGGAUUUAUUGAAGACUAACUACUGCGAAAGCAUUUGCCAAGGAUGUUUUCAUUAAUCAAGAACGAAAGUUAGGGGAUCGAAGACGAUCAGAUACCGUCGUAGUCUUAACCAUAAACUAUGCCGACUAGGGAUCGGAUGAUGUUAAUUUUUUAAUGACUCAUUCGGCGCCUUACGGGAAAC